RNAcentral lists this ribosomal RNA (452 nucleotides) under uncultured bacterium. Its description in RNAcentral is "bacterial SSU rRNA". It matches the Rfam family "Bacterial small subunit ribosomal RNA", at positions 28 to 478 of the family's 1533-position model. The record is from RNAcentral.
GAUGAACGCUGGCGGCGUGCUUAACACAUGCAAGUCGAACGAAGCACUUUAUUUGAUUUCCUUCGGGACUGAUUAUUUUGUGACUGAGUGGCGGACGGGUGAGUAACGCGUGGGUAACCUGCCUUGUACAGGGGGAUAACAGUUGGAAACGGCUGCUAAUACCGCAUAAGCGCACAGCAUCGCAUGAUGCAGUGUGAAAAACUCCGGUGGUAUAAGAUGGACCCGCGUUGGAUUAGCUAGUUGGUGAGGUAACGGCCCACCAAGGCGACGAUCCAUAGCCGACCUGAGAGGGUGACCGCCCACAUUGGGACUGAGACACGGCCCAAACUCCUACGGGAGGCAGCAGUGGGGAAUAUUGCACAAUGGGCGAAAGCCUGAUGCAGCGACGCCGCGUGAGCGAAGAAGUAUUUCGGUAUGUAAAGCUCUAUCAGCAGGGAAGAUAAUGACGGUAC